UCCCCAGUGGUCCAGUGGUUAGGAUUUGGCACUUUUGCUGCCAUGGCCCUGGUUCAAUGCCUGGUUGGGGAA
Molecule: non-coding RNA, 72 nt
Organism: Balaenoptera acutorostrata (minke whale)
Lineage: Eukaryota; Metazoa; Chordata; Mammalia; Artiodactyla; Balaenopteridae
Source: the annotation of a RefSeq genome assembly